GGUGGCUCAGUGGUAGAGCACUUACCUUGCAUGCAUGAGGCCCUGGGUUCGAUUCCCCAGUACCA
Molecule: transfer RNA, 65 nt
Filed under: Dipodomys ordii (Ord's kangaroo rat)
Lineage: Eukaryota; Metazoa; Chordata; Mammalia; Rodentia; Heteromyidae
Rfam family: tRNA
About the family: Transfer RNA (tRNA) molecules are approximately 80 nucleotides in length. Their secondary structure includes four short double-helical elements and three loops (D, anti-codon, and T loops).
Source: Rfam by way of RNAcentral